This 468-nucleotide ribosomal RNA is filed under the name uncultured bacterium. Its description in RNAcentral is "partial 16S ribosomal RNA". It matches the Rfam family "Bacterial small subunit ribosomal RNA", at positions 28 to 507 of the family's 1533-position model. The record is from RNAcentral.
GACGAACGCUGGCGGCGUGCUUAACACAUGCAAGUCGAACGGAAAGGCCCUGCUUUUGUGGGGUGCUCGAGUGGCGAACGGGUGAGUAACACGUGAGUAACCUGCCCUUGACUUUGGGAUAACUUCAGGAAACUGGGGCUAAUACCGGAUAGGAGCUCCUGCUGCAUGGUGGGGGUUGGAAAGUUUCGGCGGUUGGGGAUGGACUCGCGGCUUAUCAGCUUGUUGGUAGGGUAGUGGCUUACCAAGGCUUUGACGGGUAGCCGGCCUGAGAGGGCGACCGGCCACAUUGGGACUGAGAUACGGCCCAGACUCCUACGGGAGGCAGCAGUGGGGAAUAUUGCACAAUGGGCGGAAGCCUGAUGCAGCAACGCCGCGUGCGGGAUGACGGCCUUCGGGUUGUAAACCGCUUUCGCCUGUGACGAAGCGUGAGUGACGGUAAUGGGUAAAGAAGCACCAGCUAACUACGUG